AUGAAGGGAUCUCCUGCUGUUCCCUGUGUCUCCCUUUGCUUCACAGUCAGAUCUGACUCUUCAGAGUCGCUGAGUCCGGAUAGAGGCAUAUUCUGUGUGAGCCGGAGCCUUGAAAGUGAUCUCGGCAUAGUGCAGAUCCUUGCUCGCGUUACCACCAGCUCUGCUGCGCCCCUGUUGAAGACACAAAUCAAGUCACCCAGGCUCCAUCUCCUGCUGGCGUCUUUCCAGCCCCUCACAUGGACCACGCGUCAACGCUGUCUUGAAACGGACAAUGCCACCCAGUUAAACUCAGGCUCCAAUUUUAAUGGUCUCACCUUUGCCGGCUGCUGCUGUUGGGUGUCUGGGGAGGCUGCUGGGGAGGAGAGAAGGAGGCCUGGGUUAUUGUUGGAAGAGAUGAAUGGAGGUGUAGGAACUGAACACAGGACUGGAGAAGGUAGAUUGGAGGCUCCCAUUCCCCCUUGCACCAGGAGGACGGAAGAGAAGUACAUUUUGAACAGCGGAAGAACGGGCAGGUGGAGUGAGCGUGGAAGGAGGAGUAAAUACCUGUGCGUCUGCGCAGCAGGAGGGCGGUAACUAAGAUGAUGAUGCUGACACCUGCCAGAGCAGUCGUGGCUCUGUAGAUGAUCAACACUGAUUUAGCUGUCUCCAGGGAAGAUCUGCAAUCCUAGAUGCUGGAUAAAUCCAGUGAUGUGUUCACCUUAUCAAGAACGAUAUCCCAGAAUUGCGCAGGAAACUCACCCUGUUUCUGGCCGAAUGCUCCCACAUUUGGGUUCGGCGCCCUCUUGCAACCAGCUGGAAUUUCUGCAACAGCUUAAUUUGAAUGAAAAAACAGGAGUCAGUGGGUGAGGUUCUGUAGCUAUGUGCAGGAGGUCAGAGUAGGGAAUUGUGAAGGUACCUUUUGGCUUUAAAGUCCAGGAGAACAGUUUUGUGCAUUUCUGAUGUCCGCCACCUUGGCUAACGUGCUGCGGAUUGAACUGGGGACCUCAACAUCUAAAAGCACAAGUUGCUACAGCUUGAGCUAGAAGAGCUGGGGGCUGUAACAAGUUGUAUUCUGGGUAGAUCAGCACAGAACGGGAUCUCCUAACUCACACUCUUUGGUCCUGAGACAUUCAGUAAGGAAAUGAACGAUCCAGUCUGCACAGAAGCCCUGGGCUGGCUAAUCCGAUAUUAAAUCCAGUCUAGUUUACCCUGCUCCACAUUUUCUG
This 1205-nucleotide long non-coding RNA is filed under the name Gopherus evgoodei (Goodes thornscrub tortoise). RNAcentral's name for it is "lncRNA (ENSGEVG00005013427.1)". The record is from RNAcentral. Lineage: Eukaryota; Metazoa; Chordata; Testudines; Testudinidae.